Non-coding RNA from Triticum urartu, 4509 nucleotides. Lineage: Eukaryota; Viridiplantae; Streptophyta; Magnoliopsida; Poales; Poaceae. The record is from RefSeq and is a predicted model, not a curated record.
GCUUUCCUCGGCGCCUUUCCUUACCCACGAAGCUUCUCUCCCAAAAAAUCUUCCCCUCUCCUCCCUCCCUUCCCCGGGUGGGCUAGAGUUGCCGCCGUCGCUGCCCCAUCGCCGCAUCCCAGCUCCUCCGCCGCCGGCCACCAGAGAAGGCGCCUCCUGAGAUCCGCUUCCCCCAAACCUUCUCGUCUUCGCGUUCCGCAAGACCUCCAGGAUGGUUGUAGCGAGGUGCCGGCGGAGACCGACGGUGACGGCUACGACAAGGGGAGGAGAUGAAUCCGAAGCAGCUCGAGGGCCUCCUGGGGGCCUGACCAAGUUCUCCGCCGCCUCCCCCGCUUUAUCCUUCUCCUCUCUCAUUCUCUCCCCAUGCCCGUGGCGGCUGCGAGGAGGUAUACGAUGGGGUUCCGCGACCAGAUGAGGGCAAGGGCGUCGAUCUCCCUCCUCCUGCUCCCAAUCGCCGUCGCGGCCACCAUCUGCUAGAUCUUCACCGCCUUAGCGCCGUGGUCCAGCUGAUGGUGCUGCGGUUCUGCUCGGGCGCCAUCACCUGAAGGUCGCUGUUGCCGACGACGAGGACAGAUGGGAGGACGCCGCCGCAACGGAUCUGCUCCCCAUUUCCCUCCACCGUCGGUGGCCAUGUGCGGGUGUCUCCCAGGAUCCAGGUGUGGUCUCGCCGCCAUCGAUGCCAGAGGAGGAAGAGGUGCUCUUCCAUGUCGACUAGAGGAGAAAGAGGAGGAGGAGGAGGCGCUUCUCCGACCAGACCCAGGGUCGGGGCCGGCACGCCACGGGCAUCUACGCCUGCGACCACGACCACACGCACGGGCUGACGCCGCUGAUGAAGAUGCGUACCCUUAGCCACGAGUUUGUCCCUGAUCCCAUCCAUGCAGGUGGGCUUCGCUGCCAUUGAAUGACACCUCUGAUCUCCCAUGUAGAUGAGCUCGGGUUUAUGGAAGCCAUGUCCAUAAAGCAAACUGAGUGCUUCGAAGUUUUGUAGAAAAGGAAUUGGAAGCUCGGAGAGACCUCACGUGAAUCAACAGGUUUGACUCCUUUUAGUCUUUGGUUAUUUCCAAAGCGGAAACCCAUGAAAUGUCGGGAUCAAAAUCCCAGGUCAGAUGGAAGUGUGGGCAUUCAUGAUUACUGUACAAGUAACUGAUUUUGUGGAACAUGCUUCUUACUUUCUUGUCUGAAUGCUUAAUAGUAUAUUACCCUUGCAAUGUGAUGGAACCAGUAGACUUUAUACCCUUGACCCUUGCAAUGUCUGAAGCAAAACAAAAUUUGGAUCACAUUUUAGAUCUUUUGUUGAAAACAAAGUUUCUAUCAGGCUUUAGAUCUGUUAUUUCCUUGUUCUAAUCAGCAUAAACUGAAUUAUUUUAUCUGAUUGCAAAUUAUCAUCAAACUGUGGUGUUUCAUCGAGGACGAUCUUUAUCAACAAUGAGGAGGAUUUGCAGAAGAUGAGAUUUCAAAUGGCUUGAAUAAGAAGAGAUGCAGAUCAGUAUUCUGGACAGGUUCUUGAUCCUAACCAGUCCACGGUGCCGUAGCCGUCGUCCUGAUUCCUUGGACGCCGCCGACGCAAGCGACAAGAGAAGGUGAGAUCGAAUCCAUAUGUUCUUUCUUUUUCCCCGUCCGUCCCGUGGAUUUUUCCUGUAUUUUGGUGAGCUCCUGAACCACCUGAUUUGUUCUUUCAUGCAAGCACACCUCUAGCUCGGCUUGUGGCGGCGGCGGGUAUUGCUGGAGUGGAGGCGCCUUUCGUUUUUCGUCCUCUUGUUCGUGCGAAGGCGCAGAAGGUCGGAUGAGGAAGUAUGAGAACAGCAAAAGAGGAGAUGGGAAAGGGUGGCGUGUUGUGGGACAACCCGGCGCUGGUGGACGCCUUAGACCACCCCGUCACCACCUACAAGCUAUGCGCCCUGGUCCCCUUUUGAUCCUCUUGCCCUUUCCUCCUUGCUGGUGGCGUGUCAGGUCCUACGCAAUUUACAACUGUGGAUCUCGCGAAUUGUAAGAGGAAAUCAUGGCAAUUGCUGGAUCUGGAGUAUAUGAUCUGUAGGAGGAGCAGUGUUCGUAUAUAGGUUCAUGCCAUUAGGCUAGAAUGGGGAAUUCUCAAUGGUCAACUACAACCACAACCCGGCUUAGUUAUAGGUGUACUUUUACCCACGAGCUCAACAACAACUAAACAUUAAACAGGACAGGUAACAGUAAAUCGGACGGUCCAGCGACGAAGUAAAACGAGGAGCUCAUCAGAUGUUGAUGAAUCUGUAUGUCCCGGAAGAGCUACACCUAACUGAAGAUAGGUGCAGCCUGACAUGGCGUUCUGGUACUGCUCACUGAGAUCCCUCAAGCUACAUCAUUGGAUAAUUGAACAUAUUAGCACAUAGUUAACUUGAUCCACAACAAAAAAUGUGAUGACAUGCAUGUUCGACAAGAAGACGAUCAACACCACUCUCCCUAAACAGAUCGUAAGAUCACACUAAGAGGCAAGAAGGAUGGUAUGGAAUCGACAGGUGAUCCGGUUAUGUUUAGUUACGUUACAUGUGGUGAAUGAGUAUGAAUCUAUCGUUCAGCUUAUGUAUCCCUGGACACUAUUCUCUUAUAUAAUGCUUCUUUGUUGAUCAUCCACUAUUAGUCAUCCAUUCACAUUGUCAGGACUCAUGAUCCAGUUAGUUGCGGCUAGAAAUGGCGACUACUGCUUUCUUUUUUAAUGAAAUUAGUAACAAUUAAUAAAAAUCUAAAACUGGAGCUAUUUCUUUUUCCAAACAAAUGAUAAUGAUGUAAUUUUGUGCUAUAAACUAAAUUUGUUGUCCAGAUGAUAACCCACUUUCCUUUUCACUUUUUGAGGUGAGAUAGAUGGACCGUAAUAGGACUUGUGUUUACUCAUUUUUGUUGUUUUCUUUUCCGUAUGAGUCUUUCUUUUCCAUGUUGAGUCAAAUGCCCCUGAUAUUUUUUCUUUUACUUUUCAGGUUUCCUGGAACUAAUAGAUGGAGGGGGUGCUAGGGUUGGGAUUGGGGUCGGAUGAAUUACUCUGUCGAAUUUGUUCGCUGCUGUGUAGUAGUAUGUACAAGAUAACUGUAAUGGUCCCUUUUUGUUUCAUGAAUAGAUGUAGUUUUCCGUGCAUUUCUCUCUGGUUGAAUAGAUCAAUUGAAUUUGCUCCUUUAUUUUUUAUGUGAAAGAACUCAGGGGUUCUCCCACAUUUAUGCAUAUAUUACUGCUCGUUUGCAUUGGGCUAAUUGAUUUUGACGGCUUGUAGGCAAUGCAUGGUAAGAACAACCAAGCUGCUCCAUCUGAGAAACAAGAGUCAGAAGAUGUAGCUACCGUUGCGGAAGAACCUGUCUGUACUGAAGUAGCAGAUGAGUAAGUAGGCUGUACACCUCCUGAUAGGGUGUACUGAUGCUUCAAUUAAUAGUUUGUCCUGUUUUACUGGUAUGACAGUGAUUAUUCUGUGCAAAGAUGGCAAUUUUUUUUUGUUAAAACUAGAGUCUGUAGAAACUAGAAAGGACGGUGCUAUGUUCCUGUCUGUCUUUUUCUCUGAAUAUUUUGUUUAGAACUUGUUCCUAGCAGAUUUGAAAAUUCUCGAGAGGAGAUAAAUUGCAGCAGUACAGCCUAUCACAUGAUGGAGAAAAGGAGUGUAGAGAAGAACAUUUGGCUUGAGCUGGAACAUGAGGUAUAUGCUUUUUCAGUUCACGCACAUUUUUUUUCCUGUUUUCAGCUAAUGAUAGUUCAGUUCACGCACAUUCUUCUACUGAAUGGACUUGACCAACAAGGACAUAGAAGCACUCUUGGGUGGACAUACUCCGGAGAAAAGCUCCUCCUGAUAGCUCGGGAUUCGACUACAGCUGGACAAAAGAUCCUCUGAAGUUUGAUAACUCCUACUUCAUGUAAGCUUAAUUGCCGCGGUUGUAGAUUGCAACACAUCGGCUAAAGAUUAUAUGUAGCUGUAAUGUCAUCAGUGCAACAUUAUGAAGUUGUACAUCACUGGACUUCAUCUUUUGUAUAUGCUGCAAUGAGCUUCUGAAAGGGGACUCCAACGGACUCACGAAGCUGCUUAUAGACAAGGUUCUCGUGGAGGAUCGAGCUUUCCGUCCCUUAGUUGAAUUAUACGCAAAGGUAAAGAAGAGUUGAAUUCAUCUUCAUUAGCUUGUUGGAUACGUUGGCAGGACGCGUUCUUCAGGGACUACGCGAAGUCGCACAAGCAGCUUUCCAAGCUCUACUUUACUGGCGUGGACAUGCACAGACAAAGCCAAGAGGGCUGUCAUAAGAACUAUCAUUGUCUUCCCAGUUGCGGUUGCCGUCAUCGCCUGCGCUUACAUCUUUGAAUCAAAGAGAAGGCUUGGUGGUUAGACUGCAAGUCUCCAUGUUUAGAUGAUUGCGAUUCAGUUAUGGGUUUUGAAGAACAAAGUUAAUCAUCCAUUGAGAUGUUGUGCACUUGUAUUUGUAAUUAAUCUGUUGAUACAGUGACGAGGAUGCAGAUAUAUGCUACCAUCCAUGUAAUAUUAUUAAUGGAAUAAGGAAACUGUUGAUUAUGCA